AUUGAACGCUGGCGGCAGGCCUAACACAUGCAAGUCGAACGGUAACAGGAAGCAGCUUGCUGCUUUGCUGACGAGUGGCGGACGGGUGAGUAAUGUCUGGGAAACUGCCCGAUGGAGGGGGAUAACUACUGGAAACGGUAGCUAAUACCGCAUAACGUCGAAAGCCCAAAGAGGGGGACCUUAGGGCCUCUUGCCAUCGGAUGUGCCCAGAUGGGAUUAGCUAGUAGGUGGGGUAACGGCUCACCUAGGCGACGAUCCCUAGCUGGUCUGAGAGGAUGACCAGCCACACUGGAACUGAGACACGGUCCAGACUCCUACGAGAGGCAGCAGUGGGGAAUAUUGCACAAUGGGCGCAAGCCUGGUGCAGCCAUGCCGCGUGUAUGAAGAAGGCCUUCGGGUUGUAAAGUACUUUCAGCGGGGAGGAAGGGAGUAAAGUUGAUACCUUUGCUCAUUGACGUUACCCGCAGAAGAAGCACCGGCUAACUCCGUG
Molecule: ribosomal RNA, 490 nt
Filed under: uncultured bacterium
Lineage: Bacteria
Description: partial 16S ribosomal RNA
Rfam family: Bacterial small subunit ribosomal RNA
Source: RNAcentral